AUUCCUGGGACCUGUGGUCAUAUUCUCUUACACGCAGAAGGGACGGACGGACCCUGCAUUGUGAUUAAGGUUUGGAAGCAAGAAGAAGGGAGCCACGAGCUGAAGAGUCUGAGUGGCCUUCCAGGAGCCUCCAGAGAGAAUGCGGCCCUGCUUGUCAUCUUGCUUUUAGCCUCUGGGACCCAAGCUGCACUUCUUCCCUUCAGAGUGAAGCGGUUCCUGAGACAAGGAUUUAAGAGCAGAAGUUUAUUUGGAAGGUGACCCCGGAUGCACUUGUGGGAGAGGAGACAGUGAAAACAGAGAGGAAAAGAAAAUCAAGACAGGGUGUGUUGACCCACAGGUUACACCUUGAGCAGCUGGAGUGCAAUCUUACAGAUCUCUGGGUAAAAGGAAGUCUUUCUUUGGGAAAGUUUCACUGGGACAGACAGAUGGACGUGAUGUUGCUGGGGCCUUUGAUAGCCAAGAACACAAGAUCUGACUUCAGGGGGCUCAGAAACUUCAUCAGCUGAGGAGGGGGACGAAGAGAACAGGAUCCUGAUGAAAC
This 541-nucleotide long non-coding RNA is filed under the name Heterocephalus glaber (naked mole-rat). RNAcentral's name for it is "lncRNA (ENSHGLG00000039558.1)". Lineage: Eukaryota; Metazoa; Chordata; Mammalia; Rodentia; Bathyergidae. The record is from RNAcentral.